GUACAUUUCUCUGAUUAGUUAUGAGAAGCCAUCUUAUGUAAAAUCUCUCCUCUCUCUUUAAAAAUUUUGUUGUAUAUAUAGCAUGAAGGAAACAAAAGGCUACUAAUUCUUAGUUAGACCUUUUCUAAUGUGUUUAACAUUGAGGCAAAUUGCCUGAUGGAAAAGAAAGAAUACUAAUUCUUAGUUAGAUCAUUUCUAAUGUGCUUAACUUUGAGGCAAAUUGCCUGAAGGUUUUUAAGCGAACAGUUUCAAGACAUCUUGAAACAUGGAAAACAUUUGAAAUGCAUUGAUGAUUUGUAGAUGUUGAACCCUUUCUCUUUUUAUAAUCAGAAAAUAGAUUGCUGAACUCACUUGCCACAAGUCAUUAUUGGAAACAAUCAAUUUUCAUACGAAGAGAAGCAAACUUUCACUGAAAGUGGGAUCAUCAUACAGUGCAUGGAAUGUUUAGACCCUGUCUGGCAUUGCUAUAAAAUUGUGCAUGUGAUUUAAGAACCUUGCUUGUAUGAUAUUGUGGCACCCAGCUAGGAUUGGCUGAGAAGUUUUCAUAUGGCCAUCCAUUUCUUUAUCUUGGAUUGAAAUGGCUUUAGUGGACCCAGCCACUAGGCUGGUUCCGGUUUCAAAACCGCUGGUUUUUAGUGAACCAGAACCGGAACCAUGAAACUCCCCAUAGUUCUGGUUCAGGUUCCGGUCUGGUUUCAGUUCCGGUUUGAUCUAGGUCCAAAUUGAAUGGUCAAGAAAUUUUUUUUUAAGUUUUUUUUUAAAUGAAAAAAGGGGGUUCGGGCCAGAAUUGUCUGUUCGGUUCUGGUUCAAUCUCGGUCCGGUUCAUUUAUGAGCCAAAGAUGGGUUUGAUUGGUUCCGGUCUAGUUUAAACCAAUCCGGUUCCUGUUUUGAACCGGUCCUUGGCCGGGUCUAGCUCUUAGUAUUUCACUGGGAGGGGAGAAACUCCAUUUAUGUUUAAAUCUUGUUACUUGCAUAGUUUUCGAUACUUG
This 989-nucleotide unclassified non-coding RNA is filed under the name Hevea brasiliensis (rubber tree). Lineage: Eukaryota; Viridiplantae; Streptophyta; Magnoliopsida; Malpighiales; Euphorbiaceae. The record is from RNAcentral.